UACGUAGGGGGCUAGCGUUGUCCGGAAUCAUUGGGCGUAAAGCGCGCGUAGGCGGCCCGGUAAGUCCGCUGUAAAAGUCCAGGGCUCAACCCUGGAAAGCCGGUGGAUACUGUCGGGCUCGAGUCCGGAAGAGGCGAGUGGAAUUCCUGGUGUAGCGGUGGAAUGCGCAGAUAUCAGGAAGAACACCAACGGCGAAGGCAGCUCGCUGGGACGGUACUGACGCUGAGACGCGAAAGCGUGGGGAGCGAACAGG
Molecule: ribosomal RNA, 253 nt
Filed under: uncultured bacterium
Lineage: Bacteria
Description: partial 16S ribosomal RNA
Rfam family: Bacterial small subunit ribosomal RNA
Source: RNAcentral